CAGCCGCCACGGUAAUACGAAGGGUGCAAGCGUUAAUCGGAAUUAUUGGGCGUAAAGGGUGCGUAGGCGGUUUGGCAAGUUUCGUGUGAAAACUUCGGGCUCAACCCGAAGCCUGCACGGAAAACUGCCGGGCUUGAGUAUGGGAGAGGUGAGUGGAAUUUCCGGUGUAGCGGUGAAAUGCGUAGAUAUCGGGAGGAACACCUGUGGCGAAAGCGGCUCACUGGACCAUAACUGACGCUGAGGCACGAAAGCUAGGGGAGCAAACAGGAUUAGAUACCCGCGUAGUCCCUGUCUCUUAUAA
This 301-nucleotide ribosomal RNA is filed under the name uncultured bacterium. RNAcentral describes it as "partial 16S ribosomal RNA". It matches the Rfam family "Bacterial small subunit ribosomal RNA", at positions 509 to 809 of the family's 1533-position model. The record is from RNAcentral.